AAAAAAUAAAAUCUCAAGCUCAUUUGAAAGUGUGCGGCACAAGACAGAAGAACACAAUGUAACCACUAAAUUUAGCCAUCAAUUAACGUACCCUUCUUUGAAUUAAAGAAGGCAAAAUAAUAACAGUAUCCAAAUAUAUAGAUGUUCAUCACUAACGUCUACUGCUUCAAAUGUAAUUAGCACAAUCUGAGAAAUUGUAAUGGCUUCUACAGGAUGAAGUCUCACAUGCGAACGCCUUUUACAGCAUGAAGCCUUCCAUCCAUGGACAUUGCCUUCAAGAAAAAUGGGAACUGCCUCUGCA
RNAcentral lists this unclassified non-coding RNA (301 nucleotides) under Hevea brasiliensis (rubber tree). The record is from RNAcentral. Lineage: Eukaryota; Viridiplantae; Streptophyta; Magnoliopsida; Malpighiales; Euphorbiaceae.